RNAcentral lists this unclassified non-coding RNA (253 nucleotides) under uncultured Bacteroidaceae bacterium. RNAcentral describes it as "contains 16S-23S intergenic spacer region". It matches the Rfam family "Bacterial small subunit ribosomal RNA", at positions 524 to 776 of the family's 1533-position model. The record is from RNAcentral. Lineage: Bacteria; Pseudomonadati; Bacteroidota; Bacteroidia; Bacteroidales; Bacteroidaceae.
UACGGAGGAUGCGAGCGUUAUCCGGAUUUAUUGGGUUUAAAGGGUGCGUAGGCGGGUUAUUAAGUCAGUUGUGAAAGUUUGCGGCUCAACCGUAAAAUUGCAGUUGAUACUGGUAGCCUUGAGUACAGUAGAGGUGGGCGGAAUUCGUGGUGUAGCGGUGAAAUGCUUAGAUAUCACGAAGAACUCCAAUUGCGAAGGCAGCUUGCUGGACUGUAACUGACGCUGAUGCACGAAAGUGUGGGUAUCAAACAGG